UUUCUAUUAUAAAAGGCAGGGGCUUCAUGAGCUCCCCUCUGUGAGCUGUGAGUGAGUUGGGUGGUAGGAAACCUCUGGUUCUCCUGGUGGAAAGAAGCCGCCCUCCCUCCAUGACUGCCACUUCCUUGGAGUUUGAUGGACAAAGCAUCAGUAUCGUGGCCCCUGUAUCUUAUCACAAGGCCUCUGAUUCUCUGUGAUCACCUCAGCAGUGGAAGGAAGCACAGAGAGGGCUCACCAGCAAAUAAACACUUCAAUGCAGACUUGUUAUAUGACACCACCUAACCUACAAAGAAGAUCUGAAUUCAGAAAGUGUAACAUCUGGACCAAGCUGCAUUAGCUUGGGGAGGCAGAGGUGAUUAAUGACUGUGUUUGUGCUGGACACACAGUAUUGUACCACAUUUUCAAUCAUGUUGUGUAUUGCAUAACUCUAGGAUUGAUUACACCUGCUCCAGGUGCAAUGGUCUCUAGGAGACAACCAAAACCGCUGCAGGCUGGUGUGGGGGUAGCUGGGCUGCCAGAAAGUCAGACUUCUUUAGCAGUUGUUCAGGUCUGAAAUCCAAAGUGUUUGGAAGGUCUUUCAGGAAAUAUAAUUCAUUUUCAAGCCUUUUUUUGGGUGGUUAGAGUCUUCUAUGUAUUAUGUCCAAUUAAUUAUGCAUUUUUUGUUGCUUUGAAGUGAUAAUUUCUCAGAUUAUCUUGGCAACUUCUUCAUCUGAUAGGAGGGGGUCUGGGUGUCACCCCUCUAUUGUCUGAAUUAUUUCAAACCCUACUCCUGCAUGGUCCUCUGGAGUUGCUAAGGAAGCAAAAGAGGCACAAAACCAUAUUAUUCUUAACACAUCAAACAAACUCACAUCCAUGGUUGCCCAUCAGCAGGUGGCACAGACACAUGGAACCAUAACAUUCGUAUUCUUUUGUUAGGAAUAUAUUGGCAAGAUAACAUAAUGGUUAAAAAUAUGGCUCCUACAGUCAGACCUUGGUUUUGAUCAUGGUUUUACCGCUCACUGUGUGAGUUUGGGACACAGCAACUUGUGCUUUGACUUUCUCAUUGACAAAAUUGGAGCAAUGAAAGUCAUGAUCUCAAAGAAUCAUGAGUCAAUGUAGAGAAAGCACUUAGCAAAGCACAUGGUGGUUAAUAAGUGUUCAAUUCACACUGACUUUUAUUACUAAUACUCUUGUGCUG
This 1177-nucleotide long non-coding RNA is filed under the name Mustela putorius furo (domestic ferret). RNAcentral describes it as "lncRNA (ENSMPUG00000031316.1)". Lineage: Eukaryota; Metazoa; Chordata; Mammalia; Carnivora; Mustelidae. The record is from RNAcentral.